GAGUGCCCGUGCGCAGCGGAGAUGCCACCUUCCCCAAAGCUAUGGACAACGUGACGGUCCGGCAGGGGGAGAGCGCCACCCUCAGGUGUACCAUAGACGACCGGGUAACCCGGGUGGCCUGGCUAAACCGCAGCACCAUCCUCUACGCUGGGAAUGACAAGUGGUCCAUAGACCCUCGUGUGAUCAUCCUGGUCAAUACACCAACCCAGUACAGCAUCAUGAUCCAAAAUGUGGAUGUGUAUGACGAAGGUCCGUACACCUGCUCUGUGCAGACAGACAAUCAUCCCAAAACGUCCCGGGUUCACCUAAUAGUGCAAG
This 318-nucleotide small RNA is filed under the name Pan troglodytes (chimpanzee). Its description in RNAcentral is "processed transcript". Lineage: Eukaryota; Metazoa; Chordata; Mammalia; Primates; Hominidae. The record is from RNAcentral.